RNAcentral lists this ribosomal RNA (638 nucleotides) under Frustulia gondwana. RNAcentral's name for it is "eukaryotic LSU rRNA". It matches the Rfam family "Eukaryotic large subunit ribosomal RNA", at positions 120 to 852 of the family's 3401-position model. The record is from RNAcentral. Lineage: Eukaryota; Bacillariophyta; Bacillariophyceae; Naviculales; Amphipleuraceae.
AUCUGCGCUUGCGCCGAAUUGUGGUCUGGAGACACUUGCACUACUGGCCGGGUCAAGUCCCUUGGAACAGGGCAGCAUAGAGGGUGAGACUCCCGUAUGCCUGGCCUCKGGAGUGUGUGUCAACGAGUCGAGUUGUUUGGGAUUGCAGCUCCAAGUGGGUGGUAAAUUCCAUCUAAGGCUAAAUAUUGGUGGGAGACCGAUAGCGAACAAGUACCGUGAGGGAAAGAUGCAAAGAACUUUGAAAAGAGAGUUAAAGAGUACCUGAAGUUGCUGAAAAGGAAGCGAAGGAAGCCAGUGCCCGCUGCGUCAUACUUCCCCAUUCGCUUGCGGGUGGGGCGCUGUGGCCAGCGCUGUCCGGUUYGGAUGGAACRAACGCAAAUGGCCCUGCCKCGCGGUUGUUCCGACCGAAKCGUACGAAAUGGCUUUCUUUUUCCCGUCUAGAAACACGGACCAAGGAGUCUAACAUAUGUGCGAGUACAGGGGUGUCCAACCCCCGUGCGCAAUGAAAGUGACAGUGGCUGUAUGAAAGCAAAAGCGUGCGCAGUCUGCCGGCCAAGAUCCCUUGGGAGAACGGUCUGAGUGUGAGCACACAUGUUGGGACCCGAAAGAUGGUGAACUAUGCCUGAAUACGGUGAAGC